GGGCACUCGAGUCAGCAGACCUGGGGGCACACGGUGUGGGGAAGGGGAUAUUCCCCGGGUACCUCCAACCCCCAGUCGAGGAGCAGGGGCAGACAGCAGGGGACGGGAUGGAGGCGGACACUUCCCUUCUGGAGGAUCCACCACCAGACCAAGAACCUGUCGGGCUAACUCUGCCGAGCGCUUCCCACCACACCUGGGAGAGGGACAGAAGAGGGAAAUUAUGAGUGGGGCUCCCUACCACGCAAGAGCAAACUGCAGAGAACAGAGCCUGAGAGGUGAGAUGUAACCUCUGGGUUGGGACCCCUCAUAUGCUCCCCACAUCUGUUCUUCCCGGGGAGAAUCCCUUUCUCCUUCCCACCCAUGACUCCCAAGCCAGUGAGGGGACUCAAGCAUCCUUUAUAGUCUCCUUGCCAAAUCAACGGAGAAAACACACAUAAGCCAGCUUGUAAACUAUAUAAAAACAGCUUUUCUCAGGGCCUGGAGGUUCUGGAGACUGGCCUGUGGUGUCUAAGUUCUCGGCUGAUGGCUUCCCUAUGCCAUUUCACUGGAGCAUCCUACGGCUAACCCCAGGGAGAGGAAAGAGAAGCUCUCUCAAAGACUUCACCGGGAAGAGCUGUAAGUGUCGAUCUCCUCCAACAAGACCGGCUCGGUGUUCCCGUUCCCUGAUCCUGGGGGGAGAACCUUCAGCACUGUCCCAUCCUCAGUACCCAAGAAGAGGACAGUGGUGUUGCCAUGGCGACCCGCUGCUCCAUCCACAGCCACCUGUGUCAACAAGGCUCUGGAAAGGUACCACUCUGGAGUCAGUAAAGGGCAUGGCAGCCCUGAGAUGGUCCUAUUGGAAAGUCUGUCCUCUCCAGUGACUCCACCAGGAGAUCGAGUGAGGGGAUAGCCAUACUGGCGCAAACCGGCUGCUGCAGGAAAAGACAGACCCAAGUGAUGACCUCAGGUGAGUGACCAGGAUCAUACCCAUCCCCACAAAGAGGAUGCCGAAGCUCCAGAGAGAGAGGAGAGGCCCAGGAAGGGCGAAGGGCAGUGGAAGGAGGAAGCAGAGGAUGUCAAGAGCCAGGAGAAGCAGGGACGGGCACCAUGGACAGGGCACUGUGUACUGGAGCUGGGUUGGAGAAGCGAAGGGUUGCCAGGCGUUGGCCUCUUGGGGUGCCCUUCCUGCCUAGGAGGGAUUGGGCAAAGGGGACACCUGAGGCUACUGGACAGGCCUAGGAGAGAGAAAGUGGCCUCGAGGACGAGACCCAGGAAGCUCUAUAACAGCCGGGAGAGGAUCCUCCACAGAAUCCAGCAAAUACUUAGCAAAAAGGCCCAAGCUGGAAACCAAGACAAUAGAAGCUUAUUUGCAUCUCAUUUGCAUGUUUCAUCUCCGUGCAAAAUAAGCACACAGCAUCCCUCCACUCCCCUCCAUGCCACACCAUCCGGCCAGUGGUGGUGGUUCCUGGGCUUCUGACAAAGGCCUCCCAGGCUGGCUCCUUUCCCCAAAGAGGUCCCCAGCGCCCUGAAUCUCAGCUGCUUUCUGCCUAGGUCAUCCCAUGCCCCCUUGCCCCAGGGCUGAUCUAGGCUGGCCUGGCCUGGCCAAAACAUCUGAUUGGGCUUUUUCUGGGUACCUUUACUCUCACCUGCAGGGCCAGGGGAGCCCUCUGCAGCUUCUGCUAGGCAUUAGCACUGUGAAUUCAUUCACCUACUCCCCAGGCCUAAAGGGGGGAAUCUCAGUCCUGCUCUCCCUCUAGUGCCCCUGAUACUUCCCUUACUUUGACCUCUUACUUCCAUUGUGGCAGAAGUAUUUGUGUAUAUGUGUGUGUGUGUGUGUGUGUGUUGUAUGAGUGGGGGUGGGAGAAAUGGUAAGCAAGGUGGGAUUAGUGAACAGGAGGAAUCAGCAUCCUGAAUCUUUCAACCAGCCAAAUCUCACAGGGACUAGGCUCGCCUGGGCUCACCUCCGGUGUGGAAAAGGAAGCUGGCCCCUCUCCUAGCCUCAGGCUCAAAGCCACCUCUGGGGAGUGGCUGGGGUCACAGCCAAAGAGUCUGGCAGGAGGGAUUGGGGUGGGGGGGCUCUCACCCUGGGACAAUAGCAGGAAACCCUCAGCACUGUAGUCCAGCCCCCUGUCCCCCUUCCUUUCGGGGAAGGGGGGGCUUUACUAAGGAGGGGCUUAAGAGAACUCUACCCUCUCCCAGACAUUUUCCCCUCCUCUCUCUUCUCUGGUUCUAAAUAAACAGUGACUCUACCAUUCCCGUCAUUCCCAGAGCAAGGAUAAUCCAGGUGUCUAGACCCCUGCAUGAGGUGGGCACUGUGCCAGUAAAUGGAGAAAUCUCCAAAUUGUCCCGUCCCUACCCCUCCUCCCCCCUUCCCAACUCCGGAGCUCCAAACACCGAGGCCAGGGGGCCAGGG
This is a long non-coding RNA of Monodelphis domestica (gray short-tailed opossum), 2392 nucleotides long. RefSeq lists it as uncharacterized. Lineage: Eukaryota; Metazoa; Chordata; Mammalia; Didelphimorphia; Didelphidae. The record is from RefSeq and is a predicted model, not a curated record.